This 434-nucleotide ribosomal RNA is filed under the name uncultured Escherichia sp. Its description in RNAcentral is "bacterial SSU rRNA". It matches the Rfam family "Bacterial small subunit ribosomal RNA", at positions 958 to 1393 of the family's 1533-position model. The record is from RNAcentral. Lineage: Bacteria; Pseudomonadati; Pseudomonadota; Gammaproteobacteria; Enterobacterales; Enterobacteriaceae.
AACGCGAAGAACCUUACCUGGUCUUGACAUCCACGGAAGUUUUCAGAGAUGAGAAUGUGCCUUCGGGAACCGUGAGACAGGUGCUGCAUGGCUGUCGUCAGCUCGUGUUGUGAAAUGUUGGGUUAAGUCCCGCAACGAGCGCAACCCUUAUCUUUUGUUGCCAGCGGUCCGGCCGGGAACUCAAAGGAGACUGCCAGUGAUAAACUGGAGGAAGGUGGGGAUGACGUCAAGUCAUCAUGGCCCUUACGACCAGGGCUACACACGUGCUACAAUGGCGCAUACAAAGAGAAGCGACCUCGCGAGAGCAAGCGGACCUCAUAAAGUGCGUCGUAGUCCGGAUUGGAGUCUGCAACUCGACUCCAUGAAGUCGGAAUCGCUAGUAAUCGUGGAUCAGAAUGCCACGGUGAAUACGUUCCCGGGUCUUGUACACACGC